RNAcentral lists this ribosomal RNA (497 nucleotides) under uncultured bacterium. Its description in RNAcentral is "partial 16S ribosomal RNA". It matches the Rfam family "Bacterial small subunit ribosomal RNA", at positions 28 to 507 of the family's 1533-position model. The record is from RNAcentral.
GAUGAACGCUGGCGGCGUGCCUAAUACAUGCUAGUCGAGCGAACAGAUAAGGAGCUUGCUCCUUUGACGUUAGCGGCGGACGGGUGAGUUACACGUGGAUAACCUACCUAUAAGACUGGGAUAACUUCGGGAAACCGGAGCUAAUACCGGAUAACAUAUUGAACCGCAUGGUUCAAUAGUGAAAGGCGGCUUUGCUGUCACUUAUAGAUGGAUCCGCGCCGUAUUAGCUAGUUGGUAAGGUAACGGCUUACCAAGGCAACGAUACGUAGCCGACCUGAGAGGGUGAUCGGCCACACUGGAACUGAGACACGGUCCAGACUCCUACGGGAGGCAGCAGUAGGGAAUCUUCCGCAAAGGGCGAAAGCCUGACGGAGCAACGCCGCGUGAGUGAUGAAGGUCUUCGGAUCGUAAAACUCUGUUAUCAGGGAAGAACAAAUGUGUAAGUAACUGUGCACAUCUUGACGGUACCUGAUCAGAAAGCCACGGCUAACUACGUG